AACGAACGCUGGCGGCAUGCCUAACACAUGCAAGUCGAACGAGAUCUUCGGGUCUAGUGGCGCACGGGUGCGUAACGCGUGGGAAUCUGCCCUUUGGUUCGGAAUAACAGUUGGAAACGACUGCUAAUACCGGAUGAUGACGAAAGUCCAAAGAUUUAUCGCCAGAGGAUGAGCCCGCGUAGGAUUAGCUAGUUGGUGUGGUAAAGGCGCACCAAGGCGACGGUCCUUAGCUGGUAUGAGAGGAUGAUCAGCCACACUGGGCCUGAGACACGGCCCAGACUCCUACGGGAGGCAGCAGUGGGGAAUAUUGGACAAUGGGCGAAAGCCUGAUCCAGCAAUGCCGCGUGAGUGAUGAAGGCCUUAGGGUUGUAAAGCUCCUUUACCCGGGAUGAUAAUGACAGUACCGGGAGAAUAAGCUCCGGCUAACUCCGUGCCAGCAGCCGCAGUAA
Molecule: ribosomal RNA, 449 nt
Filed under: uncultured bacterium
Lineage: Bacteria
Description: partial 16S ribosomal RNA
Rfam family: Bacterial small subunit ribosomal RNA
Source: RNAcentral